AAGGGACCGGUUCGCGCCGGUCCCGCGGUGGCAAGCAGAGGAAGCCGGUGCGAGUCCGGCGCGGUCCCGCCACUGUCACUGGGAGAGCGCAGCGCCCAGGAGCCAGGAACUCUCGCCGCCGCUUCACGUCGAGC
Molecule: non-coding RNA, 134 nt
Filed under: Streptomyces sp.
Lineage: Bacteria; Bacillati; Actinomycetota; Actinomycetes; Kitasatosporales; Streptomycetaceae
Source: RNAcentral